This 1323-nucleotide long non-coding RNA is filed under the name Homo sapiens (human). RNAcentral describes it as "HSALNT0356767". Lineage: Eukaryota; Metazoa; Chordata; Mammalia; Primates; Hominidae. The record is from RNAcentral.
AAUCCAGAAAUAGACAAGAAAGAGGGUUGAAACCUUCAUGACAAUGCUAGAGAAUUAACAGUGAGAGAUGCAUUAAGCAACAACACAGUUUUGCCUUUUACAAGCUCCCUGAGGUUUUUAUUUCAGUCAGAGGACCAAGAUUUCAGUUCAAGUCACUGGAAGAAAAGAGCUGUCAUUUAUGCUCUCUACUUACAGGUAAAUUGUCUUGUGAUUAUUUCCACAGAACUCUGACUUGGAUAAGUUCCCCAGAGGGCAAGACCAAGGUCAGUUUAAUCUGAAGUCUUUCGUACUUGAUAAAAAUGUCACUGUAAUGAAAACUUGACCGCAAUUAUAAAGAUGACAUCAUUAUGAUGAUGAUUAUGAUAAUAAUGAUGACGAUGAUGAUGACUUUGCCAUUGCUUUGCAGAAAAGGCUACCUAAGAUCGGAACCCUCUGAUAAUUUGUGCUGCUAUUUUAAGAUCCAGUUCCAUUCUACAACUGGCUGAAGCAUGAAGUCAACUAAAAUAAACUGAAUUGAGUGGAACUGAACUGAACUGAAGUGAAAUAAUGUGAUUUCCAGUAAACCUGACACCUUAAGGACAGAACAUGAGCCUUGCCCAUCUUCCUCCCAGAGGUCCCAGCACAAUCACCGACUCACACAAUACUCUCAGUGCAUGAGUGAUGAAUUUCACUAACAGCGACCCAUCUCUCUACAUAAUCCACUCCGGUUUCACCAGAGCUGAGAGUAUCAUGAAUUACAUCUAUAGAUAGCUGUAAGCUAAUGACCAAAGCACAUAACUGAAUUCAAACAUAUUCUUUAUUGCAGUCAGAUGUGAGAAAACAAAAUUUAGAAGACAAGCCAGAAAGGAAAUGAAGAACAUAAAGAGCCUGAAUUCUCAUCGUCAAUUUUUCCCUGACUGACUCCGUUUUCCUCUCUUCUUUCCAUUUACCUUUCUGUUCCCAUCCCCAUCAUUUUUGUAGUGUUUAUUGAGUGUCUGCUGCAUGCCAGUCAAUGUGCUGAGUACUUUUCAUGUGUUAUACCAUUUGAUCGUCACAGCAGCACACUAUUAUAAUUAUGAAUAUGAUUCCACAUACUAUAUCUAAAAUUUAACUUAAUUUUACAUAGGAGGAAGCUGAGACUUGCCCAAGACUACUCCAUUAGUAAGAUGUGAACCAAGUGAACCAUGUCUGACUCAAACCUAACCCCUGAUUCUCUGAAUCCAUAUCACCGUAGAACUCAACAGUGAAAUAUUGGGGUAGAGGUAAUGCUAUUAGUACACAAACUAUGCACAGAUUUACAAGCAACUAAACAGGAACUCAUGGCCAGGCACAAUGGUUCAUGCC